AUACAUAGCUAUCAUGUCUCCUCUCAGCCUUCUCUUCUGCAGCCUAAACAUGCCUAUUUCUUUAAGCCUCUCCUCAUAGGGCUUGUUCUCCAGACCCUUAAUCAUUUUAGUUGCCCUCCUCUGGACGCUUUCCAGCUUGUCAACAUCUCCCUUCAAUUGGGUGCCCAGCUAUUGGACAUUCCCUUUAGACUCUCCCCGGAUGAUCCCGUGAGCUGAGUUGGCUCUUAAUACUUCUAGUUCCCGGACAAGCGUUUAAUGGCUUGAGAAAAAAACUAGUGAGGUGUUAACAAACCAACAAGAUAUUAACGAGGUGAAAGGAUAUAUCGUCGAAAGGAUAUAUCGUUGUCUCCAACAGCUUUGGAUUCCGGUGAAUCUCAGAAGUGAUGCUCCAUUUGUGAGUAUAGUUUGGAAGGGACCCCCAAAGACCAUCUAGUCCAACCCUCUUCUGUCGUAAAGACACAAUCUGAUCCCUCCUGAUAGAUGAUCAUCCAACCUUGGCUGAAAGAGCACCAAAGGAGGAGAGGCCUCCCAUUAAAAACUUCCAGAGAAGAAGACUCCUUCAGAUUACAAGGUGAUCUAUACUAUGCUAGAGUUAGAAGGGAGCUCCAAAGGUCAUCCAGUCAAACCUGCUGUAAAGAAAAACACGAUCUAAUGCCUCCCAACAGAUGGCCAUCCAGCCAUUCUCUUCUCAAAGACUUCCAGAGGAGACUCCCUCAGAUUACAUGGUAAUCUACAUUACAUUAGAGUUGGAAGGGACCCCCAAAGGCCAUCACAUCCAACCCCUUUUCUUCCAUUAAAACACAAUCUGAUCUCUCUCUUUAAAUGAACAGGCCCAAUAGAGCUGUUAUUAGAAUACUUCUUUCUGUUUUAAAAGCAUAUGGCACUUUAUCACUGCUACUUAUUUCCAUGAUACAGCACUUUAUGAAACCUGUCCCCACUGGGUUGCUUUUAAUUACUCUGAUUUUAUCUGCUUGGAUUUUAAUGUAUUUCUCCAUUAUUUUAUUUUGUGUAUUGUUGGAAUUGUUUUAAGUUUAUGUUAAAUACGUUGUUGUUGUUCGGGCUUGUCCCUGUUGUGAGCCGCCCCGAGUCCCUUUGGGGAGAUGAGGUGGGAUAUAAAAAUAAAGAUGAUGAUGAUGAUUAUGAUGAUGAUGAUGAUUAUUAUUAUUAUUAUUAUUAUUAUUAUUAUUAUGGCCAUCCAGCCUCUGAUUAAUGAUUUCCAGAGAAUGGGACUCCACCAGACUCCCAGGCAAUCUGCAUUACACCAGAGUCAGAAGGGACCUCCAAAGGCCAUCCAGUCUAACGUAUGCCUCAGGUACCAAAAUGACCCAAAAUGCAGACUGUGCAAGGAAACCGACGAAACCAUUGAUCAUAUCCUCAGCUGCUGUAAGAAAAUCGCACAGACAGACUACAAACAGAGGCACAACUAUGUGGCCCAAAUGAUUCAUUGGAACUUAUGCCUCAAGUACCACCUCCCAGCAGCAAAGAACUAGUGGGAUCACAAACCUGCAAAAGUAUUGGAAAAUGAGCACGCAAAGAUACUGUGGGACUUCCGAAUCCAGACUGACAAAGUUCUGGAACACAACACACCAGACAUCACAGUUGUGGAAAAGAACAAGGUUUGGAUCAUUGAUGUUGCCAUCCCAGGUGACAGUCACAUAGAUGAAAAACAACAGGAAAAACUCAGCCGCUAUCAGGACCUCAAGAUUGAACUUCAAAGACUCUGGCAGAAACCAGUACAGGUGGUCCCGGUGGUGAUGGGCACACUGGGUGCCGUGCCAAAAGAUCUCAGCCGGCAUUUGGAAACAAUAGACAUUGACAAAAUUACGAUCUGCCAACUGCAAAAGGCCACCCGACUGGGAUCUGCACGCAUCAUCCGAAAAUACAUCACACAGUCCUAGACUCUUGGGAAGUGUUCGACUUGUGAUUUUGUGAAACGAAAUCCAGCAUAUCUAUCUUGUUUGCUGUGACAUAAUAAUAAUAAUAAUAAUAAUAAUAAUAAUAAUAAUAAUAAUAAUAAUAAUAAUAAAUAGCUAUGGUGGUGCAAUGGGUUAAACCCUCGUGCCGGCUGAACUGCUGAUCUGAAGGUUGAGUUGCUGACUUGAAGGUUGCCGGUUUGAAUCCGCAAGAUGGGGGUGAGCUCCCAUCUGUCAGCUCUAGCAUGAGAGAAGCCUCCCAGCAGGACAGUAACUCAUCCAGGCGUCCCGUGGGCAAUGUCUCUGUAGACGGCCAGUUCUCUCACACCAGAAGCAACUUGAAAUAUUUCUCAAGUAGCUUCUGACACUAAUAAUAAUAAUAAUAAUAAUAAUAGGAUAAUAAUCCAUCUGGAUGGUUUCUCAAAGAGACACAUUUAAGGUCACUCAUUUAAGGCAGGUCUUAAUUUGACGAUUUUCUCCUACCAUCAAGAUUAAAAUCAUAACCUUUUAGGUCAUUUAGUCCCCUCACCUUCACUCUUAAUGACAUCACCAGGGACAAUAUCUAAAUCUCAGCUUGAAACCUCAAGACUUGGGAGAAUUUUGAGCUCAAAACCUGUUUGAAGGCAAUACUCUUGCCCUGGGAUUCCUCCCUAUCUGGAGACUGGAAAUUCAAAGCCAAGUUUUGAAAUCUGACAGCUUACUGUAUAUACUUGAGUAUAAGCCUAGUUUUUCAGCCCUUUUUAGGGCUAAAAAAGCUCCCCUUGGCUUAUACCCGGUUGAGGGUCCUGGCCGGCUUCUAUUCAGGUCGGCUUAUACUUGAGUAUAUAGGUAUUCAGAGUUAUUAAAGUCUUAUUAUCUUAAAUUACGAUUUUAUGUAAAUAUUCAAAAUCUUUUAACCUACUGAUGCUUCAAUAUUGGUAUCUAUUUUUAUUUUUGAAAUUUACCCAUAGCUGCUGCAUUUUUCACCCUCGUCUUAUACUCUAAUCAAUAUAAAGUUAUUAUUAUCUUAAAUUACAGUUUUAUAUAAAUAUUCAAAAACAGUUAACCUACUGAUGCCUCAAAUAAUGCAAUUUUAUUAAUACAGUAGAGUCUCAAUUAUCCAAGCUAAACGGGCUGGCAGAACGUUGGAUAAGCGAAUAUGUUGGAUAAUAAGGAGAGAUUAAGGAGAAGCCUAUUCAACAUCAAAUUAAGUUAUGAUUUUACAAAUUAAGGACCAAAAACAUCAGGUUAUACAACAAAUUUGACAGAAAAAGUAGUUCAAUACGCAGUAAUGCUAUGUAGUAAUUACUGCAUUUACAAAUUUAGCACCAAAAUAUCAUGAUGUAUUGAAAACAUUGACUACAAAAAUGCGUUGGAUAAUCCAAAAUGUUGGAUAAGCGAGUGUUGGAUAAGUGAGUCUCUACUGUAGUUCAAUAUGCAGUAAUGCUAUGUAGUAAUUACUGUAUUUACGAAUUUAGCACCAAAAUAUCACGAUAUAUUGAAAACAUUGACUACAAAAAUGUGUUGGAUAAUCCAGAAGCUUGGAUAAGCAAGUGUUGGAUAAGUGAGACUCUACUGUAGUUCAAUAUGCAGUAAUGCUAUGUAGUAAUUACUGUAUUUACGAAUUUAGCACCAAAAUAUCACGAUAUAUUGAAAACAUUGACUACAAAAAUGUGUUGGAUAAUCCAGAAGCUUGGAUAAGCAAGUGUUGGAUAAGUGAGACUCUACUGUAGUUCAAUAUGCAGUAAUGCUAUGUAGUAAUUACUGUAUUUACGAAUUUAGCACCAAAAUAUCACGAUAUAUUGAAAACAUUGACUACAAAAAUGUGUUGGAUAAUCCAGAAGCUUGGAUAAGCAAGUGUUGGAUAAGUGAGACUCUACUGUAGUUCAAUAUGCAGUAAUGCUAUGUAGUAAUUACUGUAUUUAUGAAUUUAGCACCAAAAUAUCAACACAAAAAAAUGUGUUGGAUAAUCCAGAACGUUGGAUAAGCAAGUGUUGGAUAAGUGAGACUCUACUGUAGUUCAAUAUGCAGUAAUGCUAUGUAGUAAUUACUGUAUUUAUGAAUUUAGCACCAAAAUAUCACGAUGUAUUGAAAACAUUGACUACAAAAAUGCAUUGGAUAAUCCAGAAUGUUGGAUAAGCGAAUGUUGGAUAAGUGAGACUCUACUGUAUCUAUUUUUAUUUUUGAAUUUGAACCGUAGCUGCUCCUUUUCCCACCCCUGUCUUGUACUCGAAUCAAUAAGUUUUCCCAGUUUUUGUGGCGAGAUUAGGUGCUUAUAUUUGGGUCGGCUUAUCCUCGAGUAUAUACGGUAAUUUUUUGGGGGGGGGGAAUCAAUCUAUAACACUUUCUCGUGUUGACAUGUAAAGAAAACAAAGAGUUUUUAGAAGAAGGGACUUUGAAGGGAUGAUGAAAGAGGCUGUGUUCCUUGGCGGCUUUGGAGGUCCCAACAGACAUCAACGACAGCUGCUUGAGUGGGAAGGGGAUCAAGAGGAUUUAGUCGAAAGGAAAAGAAAUCUAAAUAAACAGAAGCAGAGAAAGAAUUUGGCUAUAAAAUCAACCCAGAAACUUCUCUGAAGCAACAGGGCUGCAGAUCCCUUGGAAGAUCCUAAUUUGAGCUGCCCUUUUGGGAGAUAAGACUGGAGCCCCCAGUGGCGUAGUGGAUUAAAGCCUUGUGACUUGAAGGUUGGUUUGCUGAUCUGAAUCCCACCUGGUUCGAACCCCACCCGGGAAGAGCGCAGAUGAGCUCCCUCUCUCAGCUCCAGCUCCAUGUGGGGACAUGAGAGAAGCCUCCCACAAGGAUGAUAAAAACAUCAAAACAUCUGGGCGUCCCCUGGGCAACGUCCUUGCAGACGGCCAAUUCUCUCACACCAGAAGCGACUUGCAGUUUCUCAAGUCGCUACUGACACGAAAAAAAAAUUGUCCACCUUCGAAAAGGAAUUAAAAACGUGGAUGCUCCGGUAUGCAUUUGAGUGAAUAGUCUCAAAUAGUUUACAAUUCCCAUUACAUUUUAUCCACGCUCCUUACUUUUGACUUUUUAGAUUCUCAGAUUUUUAGAUGAGACCGUCCUCCUUGCCCCUAUCCUGGAUUGUCCCUGUACAUCCCAUAAACCCUCCCUAGAGUCCUGCAUUAGUCACCCUCCACAUAUGCUGUACUUGAGGCCAGGUUUUAAAGUACCGUAUAUACUCAAGUUUAAGCUGACCCGAAUAUAAGCCAAGGCACCUAAUUUUACCACAAAAAAAAAACUGGGAAAACAUUGACUCCAGUAUAAGCCGAGGGUGGUAAAUUUCAGAAAUAAAAAGAGAUACCAAAAAAGUUACAUUAAUUGAGGCAUCAGUAGGUUAAAUGUUUUUGAAUAUUUACAUGAACUCAAAUUUAAAAUAAGACUGUCCAACUCUUAUCAAAUCAUGAUUCUCAUCUUCUUCAAUGUAAAUGUGCAUAUGUAUCCUAUUCAUAAUAAUAGAGUAAAAUAAUACAUGUAAUAAUAAUAAUAAUAAUAAUACUAAAUACAGGAAAAUAAUACAUGUAAUAAUAAAUAGAGUAAAAUAAUACAAGCAAUAAUAAUAAGAUCAGAGUGAAAUAAUAAAUGUAAUAAUAAUAAUAAUAAUAAUAAUAAUAGAGUAAAAUAAAUGCAAUAGUAGCAACAAUAAUAGAGAAAAAUAAUAAAUGUACCAUAUAUUCUCAAGUAUAAGCUGACCUAAAUAUAAGCCAACCAGGACCCUCACCCGAGUAUAAGCCAAGGCGGGCUUUUUCAGUCUUAAAAAAAGGGCUGAAAAACUAGGCUUAUACUCGAGUAUAUACAGUAAUUGCUGUGUUUUAUGCUGUUGUAUAUUUAUUUUGUUAAUAUUGUUUUAAUUCAGUUCAUGUACUGUGUUUUACUUCGGCCAACCUAGCAGUUUGAAAACAUGCCAAUGUGAAUAGAUCAAUAGGUACCGCUCUGGCGGGAUGGUAACGGUGCUCCAUGCAGCCACAUGACCUUGGAGGUGUCUACGGACAACGCCGGCUCUUGGGCUUAGGAAUGGAGAUGAGCACCAACCCCCAGAGUCAGACAUGACUGGACUUAACGUCAGGGGAAAGCUUUACCUUACUGUGUUUUAAUGAGCCCCGGUGGUGAAGUGUGUUAAAGCGCUGAGCUGCUGAACUUGCAGACCGAAAGGUCCCAGGUUCAAAUCCCGGGAGCGGAGUGAGCGCCUGCUGUUAGCUCCAGCUCCUGCCAACCUAGCAGUUUGAAAACAUGCCAAUGUGAGUAGAUCAAUAGGUACCGCUCCGGUGGGAAGGUAACAGCGCUCCAUGCAGUCAUGCUAGUGGCCACAUGAUCUUGGAGGUGUCUAUGGACAACGCCGGCUCUUUGGCUUAGAAAUGGAGAUGAGCACCAACCCCCAGAGUUGGACACGACUGGACUUAACGUCAGGGGAAACCUUUACUUUUUUUACUGUGGUUUAAACCUGUUAUAUGUUGGGCUUGUCCCCAUGUGAGCCACCCCAAGUCCCUCCGGGGAGAUGGUGGUGGGAUACAAGAAUAAAGUUAUUGUUAUUGUUAUUACAGUAGAGUCUCACUUAUCCAACAUAAACGGGCUGGCAGAAUGUUGGAUAUGCGAAUAUGUUGGAUAAUAAGGAGGGAUUAAGGAAAAGCCUAUUAAACAUCAAAUUAGGUUAUGAUUUUACAAAUUAAGCACCAAAACAUCAUGUUAUACAACAAAUUUGACAGAAAAGGUAGUUCAAUACGCAGUAAUGCUAUGUAGUAAUUACUUUAUUUACGAAUUUAGCACCAAAAUAUCACAAUGUAUUGAAAACAUUGACUACAAAAAUGCAUUGGAUAAUCCAGAACGUUGGAUAAGUGAGACUCUACUGUAUUAUUAUUAGGCAUAUUUUGGGAGGCAAUCAGAGAUCAAAAACGGCUUAGGUCUGCUGGGAAAAUGAUGGCUAUCUUUCCCUUCAUGCCUCCAGGUCCCAACUUUGUCCGCUUCCUGUUUAUUCUCAGGAAAACACUCGUUAAACAGAUUAAACAGAUUAAAACUAUUUUCAUCUCGGGAUGCCAUUCGCUCUGCUUCAUGCAUUCCCAGAACAAGGAGUCAUGCCUGUGUCUGCGGCUGUCAUGGCGGCUUGGGGAGCGUCUACAGAGACGUUGCCCAGAGGACGCCCGGAUGUAUUACUAUCCUGCUGGGAGGCUUCUUCUCAUGCUAGAGCUGACAGAUGGGAGCUCACCCCAUCUGUGGCUCCUCCGAGGCUUGUGGUCAGUCUGGGAGGCAAGCAAAGCUUUUGAAAGCCUUCAAUCUGCCAGGCAGGGCUGGAGCAGAAGCAUUUCGAAUGCUUGGAAGAACAACAGAAGCACCAGAUAAUAUUAUCAUUACAGUAGAGUCUCACUUAUCCAACAUUUGCUUAUCCAACAUUCUGGAUUAUCCAACGCAUUUUUGUAGUCAAUGUUUUCAAUACAUCGUGAUAUUUUGGUGCUAAAUACAGUCAUUACUACGUAGCAUUACUACAUAUCGAACUACUUUUUCUGUCAAAUGUGUUGUAUAACAUGAUGUUUUGGUGCUUAAUUUGUAAAAUCAUAACCUAAUUUGGUGUUCAAUGGGCUUCUUCUUAAUCUCUCCUUAUUAUCCAACACACAGUAGAGUCUCACUUAUCCAAGGUUCUGGAUUAUCCAAGCCAUUUUUGUAGUCAAUGUUUUCAAUAUAUUGUGAUAUUUUGGUGCUAAAUACAGUAAUUACUACAUAACAUUACUGCGUAUUGAACUACUUUUUCUGUCAAAUUUGUUGUAUAACAUGAUGUUUUGGUGCUUAAUUUAUAAAAUCAUAACCUAAUUUGAUGUUUAUUAGGGUUUUCCUUAAUCCCUCCUUAUUAUCCAAGAUAUUCGCUUAUCCAAGCUUCUGUCGGCCCAUUUAGCUUGGAUAAGUGAGACUCUAAUUUAAAAAUGUACAUAGAGGAAGCUAAUAGACUGAAGGCAAGGAGGAAACUGAUAUUAAUCUGGAACUUAUAAUAUUUUUAUAUGUACUAUUCAAAUAGAAGACUGUGACCCCUUAUUGAAAAUAUAUUGUCUGAGAAAUGAUUACGAAAGACUAAUAGAUGAAAGUAUUGCACUGUAUGCAACAAACACGUGCAAUGUAUGUUAUUUGAAUGAAUUAAAAUAAAUAAGCAUUUUAAAAAAAAUAAUGCAAAUCCCUGUUGAAAUAAAGGACAUCCAGCCCAAGAAUAGCAUAUAAAGUUGUGCAGGAAGACCUAGAAAAUGUCUUAGAGAAGACAUGUUGUUGGAAGUGGAUACAGUAGAGUCUCACUUAUCCAACGUUCUGGAUUAUCCAAUGCAUUUUUGUAGUCAAUGUUUUCAAGGCAUUGUGAUAUUUUGGUGCUAAAUUAUUAUUUUAUUGUUAUUUACAGUAUUUAUAUUCCGCCCUUCUCACCCUGAAGCGGACUCAGGGCGGAUCACAUUACACAUAUAAGGCAAACAUUCAAUGCCUUAACAUAGAACAAAGACAAACGCAGGCUCCAAGCUGGCCUCGAACUCAUGACCUCUUCGUCAGAGUGAUUUGUUGCAGCUGGCUGCAGCCGGCUGCUCACCAGCCUGUGCCACAGCCUGGGCCUAAAUUCAUAAAUACAGUAAAUACUACAUAGCAUUAUUGCGCAUUGAACUACUUUUUCUGUCAAAUUUGUUGUAUAACAUGAUGUUUUGGUGCUUAAUUUGUAAAAUCAUAUCCUAAUUUGAUGUUCAAUAGGCUUUUCCUUAAUCCCUCCUUAUUAUCCGGGCUGUGGCGCAGCUGGCUAGUAACCAGCUGCUAUAAAUCACUACUGACCGAGAGGUCAUGAGUUCGAAGCCCGGGUCGGGUUAAGCCUCCGACCAUAAAAAAAAUAUAUAGCCCCGGCUUGCUGUUGACCUAUCAGCCCCGAAAGACAGUUGCAUCUGUCAAGUAGGGAAAAUUUAGGUACGCUUUAUGCGGGAGGCUAAUUUAACUAAUCUACAACACCAUAAAACUGCUCACGAGGAAAAGAAGAGGAAGAACAGCCACCAAUGGACGGUGAAGCAACAGCUCCCCCUGUGGCCGGAAUCGUGAAGCUGGAAAGAUGUUAAAAAUGCCUCUGUGUCUGUCUAAAACUGAAUGUUGUUUGUCUGUUGGCACUGAAUGUUUGCCAUAUAUGUGUUCAUUGUAAUCCGUCCUGAGUCCCCUUCGGGGUGAGAAGGGUGGAAUAUAA
Molecule: long non-coding RNA, 9073 nt
Organism: Anolis carolinensis (green anole)
Lineage: Eukaryota; Metazoa; Chordata; Lepidosauria; Squamata; Anolidae
Exons: 2
Source: RefSeq, a predicted model, not a curated record